AGGGAAUAGAUACCCCGGUAGUCCAUGCUGUAAACGAUGGAUGCUAGCUGUGAUGCGUAUCGACCCGCGUCGUAGCGAAGCUAACGCGUUAAGCAUCCCGCCUGUGGAGUACGGCCGCAAGGCUAAAACAUAAAGGAAUUGACGGGGACCCGCACAAGCGGUGGAGCGUGUUGUUUAAUUCGAUGGUAAGCGAAGAACCUUACCCAGGUUUGACAUCCUUGGAAGUUCUGCGAAAGCAGAGUGUGCCUUCGGGAACCAAGUGACAGGUGAUGCAUGGCCGUCUUCAGCUCGUGUCGUGAGACGUUAGGUUAAGUCCUUCAACGAGCGCAACCCUUAUAGUUAGUUGUAUUUUCUAGCUAGACUGCCCUGGUAACAGGGAGGAAGGAGGGGACGAUGUCAGGUCAGUAUCUCCCUUAUAUCUGGGGCUACAAACACGCUACAAUGGCCGGUACAAAGGGAAGCUAACCCGCGAGGGGGUAGCAAAUCCCAUCAAAGCCGGUCUCAGUUCGGAUUGUAGGCUGAAACUCGCCUGCAUGAAG
Molecule: ribosomal RNA, 539 nt
Filed under: uncultured bacterium
Lineage: Bacteria
Description: bacterial SSU rRNA
Rfam family: Bacterial small subunit ribosomal RNA
Source: RNAcentral